Molecule: ribosomal RNA, 303 nt
Filed under: uncultured bacterium
Lineage: Bacteria
Description: bacterial SSU rRNA
Rfam family: Bacterial small subunit ribosomal RNA
Source: RNAcentral
UGGGGAAUAUUGGGCAAUGGGCGCAAGCCUGACCCAGCAACGCCGCGUGAAGGAAGAAGGCUUUCGGGUUGUAAACUUCUUUUCUCAGGGACGAAGAAAGUGACGGUACCUGAGGAAUAAGCCACGGCUAACUACGUGCCAGCAGCCGCGGUAAUACGUAGGUGGCAAGCGUUAUCCGGAUUUACUGGGUGUAAAGGGCGUGUAGGCGGGGAAGCAAGUCAGAUGUGAAAACCACGGGCUCAACCUGUGGCCUGCAUUUGAAACUGUUUUUCUUGAGUACUGGAGAGGCAGACGGAAUUCCUA